AGGGGUGUAGUUCAAUGGUUAGAGCACCGGUCUCCAAAACCGGUAAUGGGGGUUCGAGUCCCUCCACCCCUGCCA
Molecule: transfer RNA, 75 nt
Filed under: Methylovirgula sp. 4M-Z18
Lineage: Bacteria; Pseudomonadati; Pseudomonadota; Alphaproteobacteria; Hyphomicrobiales; Beijerinckiaceae
Description: tRNA-Trp
Rfam family: tRNA
About the family: Transfer RNA (tRNA) molecules are approximately 80 nucleotides in length.
Source: RNAcentral